CCGCCCGGGACACGUCUGCGGGGCGGGGGCGGGGCGCAGAGACAGAGUCAGAGACUCGGAUAAGCACGGAGCGAUGCGGCCAGAAACCGAGCAUCACCCUCCAGUCAAGCUCCCCAGUACCUUCCGCGGAUUUUGUCCGGGCUUCGUGUAACUUGCCUGUGCCACGCUAGCCCCAAACCCUGCUCUUCACGGCCAAUUCCAGAAGCGCAGGAAAUGUCCAGCUCCUAGGCAUCCCAAGGGCUGAAAUGGAGGACAGCCGUUCUAGGCAUCGAUUCUGGAGUCUGCUACACUCAUACUUGCAGCUGUGGUCUCGAGCCCCUCUGGGGUUCUGUGAGACUCACUGGCUUCAUUCUCAAGGGGUCACCAGCCUGACGUGUCCUCACCCUCUGGAAAUGGCCGCAAUCUCAACUGCUGAUGGAAGCUCUCCUGGACUCUUGUUAAUCCUCCACUGACACUGGCAGUCAAAAUUAAAAAUAC
Molecule: long non-coding RNA, 477 nt
Organism: Mustela lutreola (European mink)
Lineage: Eukaryota; Metazoa; Chordata; Mammalia; Carnivora; Mustelidae
Exons: 3
Source: RefSeq, a predicted model, not a curated record